RNAcentral lists this ribosomal RNA (675 nucleotides) under Listeria monocytogenes. Its description in RNAcentral is "bacterial SSU rRNA". It matches the Rfam family "Bacterial small subunit ribosomal RNA", at positions 857 to 1533 of the family's 1533-position model. Lineage: Bacteria; Bacillati; Bacillota; Bacilli; Caryophanales; Listeriaceae. The record is from RNAcentral.
GCAUUAAGCACUCCGCCUGGGGAGUACGACCGCAAGGUUGAAACUCAAAGGAAUUGACGGGGGCCCGCACAAGCGGUGGAGCAUGUGGUUUAAUUCGAAGCAACGCGAAGAACCUUACCAGGUCUUGACAUCCUUUGACCACUCUGGAGACAGAGCUUUCCCUUCGGGGACAAAGUGACAGGUGGUGCAUGGUUGUCGUCAGCUCGUGUCGUGAGAUGUUGGGUUAAGUCCCGCAACGAGCGCAACCCUUGAUUUUAGUUGCCAGCAUUUAGUUGGGCACUCUAAAGUGACUGCCGGUGCAAGCCGGAGGAAGGUGGGGAUGACGUCAAAUCAUCAUGCCCCUUAUGACCUGGGCUACACACGUGCUACAAUGGAUAGUACAAAGGGUCGCGAAGCCGCGAGGUGGAGCUAAUCCCAUAAAACUAUUCUCAGUUCGGAUUGUAGGCUGCAACUCGCCUACAUGAAGCCGGAAUCGCUAGUAAUCGUGGAUCAGCAUGCCACGGUGAAUACGUUCCCGGGCCUUGUACACACCGCCCGUCACACCACGAGAGUUUGUAACACCCGAAGUCGGUAGGGUAACCUUUAUGGAGCCAGCCGCCGAAGGUGGGACAGAUAAUUGGGGUGAAGUCGUAACAAGGUAGCCGUAUCGGAAGGUGCGGCUGGAUCACCUCCUUU